This is a non-coding RNA of Anas platyrhynchos (mallard), 1867 nucleotides long. The record is from RefSeq and is a predicted model, not a curated record. Lineage: Eukaryota; Metazoa; Chordata; Aves; Anseriformes; Anatidae.
GACAAAAAUCAUUUUGAUUGAAUCCUCAUCCAUAUUUUUAAAUGAAACGCAUGUGGGGCUAUUAGCUCAGCUCCCCGUCAGAGGCGGCUGCACCGCAGCCCUGCCAUAUGUUUGGCAGUGUUUGAAGCACCUGGCAUCCUCCACAACAGACAGGCACAUCUGAAUGGGGAGAAAUAUUAAACCAUCUCGCAGUUUCCUCUUCCAACUCCAGGGCUGUGACCUUUGGCAACCAUGCUGAUGAUCGGAAGAAUGGAGCAUCUGGACAUCAGGAGGAUAAGAAAGUUGGGAAGGAAGCUGGAUCUGCAAGAAAAAGCAACAGAACCCCAUCCUGUGAGGUCACUAAAUAUGCCUUUUGUUUAUGCAGAUGACCGAUAAAUUGGAUGUUUUAACAUCUAAUUUUCCUAAGUUGCUGCUGGGUUAAUGUGCUUCAGUUUCACAGAGGCCAACUUAGGAAAUUCUAUGCCAGUUUUCAUAGAUUCAAAGUGCUAUUGGCUUCUAAAUUAGAUAAACAGAGCUUCCAAAAAUUAUGUCAACUAUGUGUCAAGUUGGCAUAAAAAACAAGAAACACCCUGUGUCAGUGUCAUUUAAAUAAACAAGUUAGCAACUAGUCCUAAAGACCAUGGAGGGAGUAAUUUAUAAGGAUGUGAGUUCCCAACUCCAGGAUUCCAGUUCUCUGACCCAAACAACAGCACUCCCACACACUUGGGAAUGUACAUAUGAAAUAAGCAUGGGAGUGCCAGAACUGGAAAGCUGUAUCAAAAAGGCCAAAGACACAGGAAACUUCAGAUUUGGAUCUUGAUCUGAGAGGCUUUAGCCUCUUUCUAAAAUUAAGUGCAACUCCCUUGAGUUUUGGGGACAGUUCAGCAUCAUAUUGUGGGGAAGUCAAGGCGGAUAGAGAGAAAUUAAAUGGCAAAAGGCUCCCUGGAUGACAAGAAGGGAAGUGCUGAAGUGAAGAAGAUGCCUGUGAAGAUUGGGAUUUUUUUGGAUGGAACCAGAUGCAGGAGGGAACAAAGGAGAACUUGGAGAGAAUUGGUACGGGAUGAAUAAAGUGGAAGGAACUUAUGUCUCAUGAUGGCUCUCAUAUGCCAUCAAAACUUAGCUCAGCUUAAAUGAUUAAGGCAGGUUUGGCUCAAAUUUGCUCUGAAUAAAAAUAUGGAUAGUGAAUCCUGCUUUUAAUUUUGCAGAAACAUGUCCCAAAGAUUAUUGAGAUAUCAGUCUCAUUUUUUAACCAAGUGCCCUCUAUUAUAGCACAGACACUCCUCAGUUUCCCUGAAGAGAUAGAUUUCCUCUUUCGGUCUGUUUUCAAUCUUAUGAAAAAGUAGUUGUUCAUAUGAACAACCAAACUUCCAAACCUUUAAAGCUUUAUCUAUCACUGGUGUAACAGACUCUCAAAACAAAACACUCCAUGGGAAACAAUUAUUGACAUGCAUUUCUCAUUCAGUACACUGAUUUCACUGAGUAAAUAAUAAUGAUGAGAAACUUCAAAACAUUUGUGGAGCCCUAACACUUGUUUUAUUUUUGUAAACUCUUUAAUGUCUCUGUCAUUUUUAGAAGCCAUCAUUUCAGUGAAAAUUCAUUAUUAAAGGGUUUGACAACUUUCAGUAAUGAUCUUGGGAUGAAUGUAAUUAAUGAGCUAGAAAAAUCUUUAGGUUAUAUUAAGGUUGAGGAUUACUUGAGGAAUAUUGGAAAAAGAAGAAAGUCUUUCCCAUCAUUACUAAAUAUAUCCCAUGCAGUAAUAUGAAAGAUGCAACAUAUUGUAAGAGAAACCAUGAGAUGAGGUACUAUGGUUGCAGCUGUGGUUGUAACAGGGUUGCACACGCCCUCCAAAGAUCCAAAAAAAAAAAAAAAAAAAAAAAAAGGGAGAAAG